CGGGGCCAAAUGGGAGAGGCCUCAGGGCCUACCGAGCCCCGAUGAGGGAGCCCCACGUGCUGACCGUUCUUCUCCUCUGACUGGCGCGCGUGCCCCGAAGCCAACGGCUUCGGCGGCUAGCUCCGCCCCUAUCCCGUGACCAGGGCUCUGCCACAGGCUCCAGAAAUCAUUAGACACCUCUGAGCUGUGGGGGAGGGGUGCAAAGCGACCUCCAGGGGUUCCCUCGCCACCCCUCUCUGAGGCAGGGGCGAUUCACACCCCUAGUUACCAAUGAGGAAAGGAGCUGGGAAGAGCCUCAGUGACAUCCCCAGAAUCACAGCUAAAAAAAACCUGAGGUUAAAUUCGAACUCAGGUCUUGCUGCCCAAGUCCAGGGGUCUCUUUUUAGUUCCUUUCCACUGACUUCCAUAUUAUGGGAUCAUAGACCUAGAAGUGGCCCUACAGGCCGCCUAGUUCCACCUUCUCCCAAUUUUUCAGAUGAGGAAACUGAGGCCCAGGGAGGCUAAGUGCGACAGCAUCGGAGGAAAGAUUUGAACUCAGCUCUACGAGCUCUAAAGCCCAGGUCCCUUUCUGGUCCCGAUGACCCACUGCCUACCUCCUUCUGGCUCCUUGAAAGCCUAUGCCAUUCAUCAGUGGGGUCCCCUGCCUCUCCUCGCCCCUCCCCCCGUCAUGACUGCCCACUCCACCCCAGGGCCCUCCGUCCUUCCCCUGCCUUUCCCCCUCUGCCCUGUUGUUUCUUCACCUUUGAGACACAGGCACCAUUUCAAGACCCUGAAGGCUUGCACAAUCCCUUCCCAGAUCUCCGGGGUUGGAAGCCCACAAAGGAAGGAUCGGGUUAACGUGCUUGAGGAGGCACCUACUGACUGCUGGGCACAGGAGACAGAAACAAAGGCCAAACGGUGCCUGCCAAAUAUCCUCAGGCCAUGUGGAUUAUCUGUUUUGGUAUCCUGGAACUUCAAGUUGGAAGAGACCUCAGAGAUCCUCUAGUCUUGGAGCCACAAGACAGGAGUUCUAAUUCCAACUCCAAUAAUCAUUUUUGUUGUUAUGUCUGAUGUUUCGUGACCCCAUUUGGGGCUUUCUUCUCUUCUCUUCACCGAAUUUGUUUUUCAAUUACAUGUAGGAACACGGUUUGACAACAGUUUUCUGGCAUUUUGUGAUUCAGAUUUUCUCUUCCCACCCCCCACCCAGAGGUGGUAAAUAGUUUGACAUUGUUUAUGUCAGUGCUUUCAUGCAAUACAUAUUUCCAUAUUCCAUUGGAGGCUUUUUUUAAUAGAGAUACUAGAAUAGCAACUUUUAUAGAUGAGAAAACUUAGGCAAACAGGGUGAAAUGACUUCCUCAGGGUCACACAACUAUUAUGCUUCUGAGACUAGAUUUGAAUUCAGGAUGUUGAGGCUUCCUGACUCCAUACUGCCUCAAUAAUCAUUAGCUUCAUGAUUAUGGGCAAGUCAGUGAACUCUUAAGACCUCAGUUCCUUCAACUAAAAAUAAGGAUGUUAGACUUGAUCUGCCUAAUAAAUGAUAACAUUUAUUAUACCUACUGUGUGCU
RNAcentral lists this long non-coding RNA (1544 nucleotides) under Monodelphis domestica (gray short-tailed opossum). RNAcentral describes it as "lncRNA (ENSMODG00000037326.1)". Lineage: Eukaryota; Metazoa; Chordata; Mammalia; Didelphimorphia; Didelphidae. The record is from RNAcentral.